AUUGAACGCUGGCGGCAUGCCUUACACAUGCAAGUCGAACGGCAGCACGGGUGCUUGCACCUGGUGGCGAGUGGCGAACGGGUGAGUAAUACAUCGGAACGUACCUUAUCGUGGGGGAUAACGCAGCGAAAGCUGUGCUAAUACCGCAUACGCCCUGAGGGGGAAAGCGGGGGAUCGCAAGACCUCGCGCGAUUAGAGCGGCCGAUGCCUGAUUAGCUUGUUGGUGGGGUAAAAGCCCACCAAGGCGACGCGCGGUAGCUGGUCUGAGAGGACGGUCAGCCACACUGGGACUGAGACACGGCCCAAACUCCUACGGGAGGCAGCAGUGGGGAAUUUUGGACAAUGGGGGCAACCCUGAUCCAGCAAUGCCGCGUGAGUGAAGAAGGCCUUCGGGUUGUAAAGCUCUUUUGUCAGGGAAGAAACACCGGCUCUAACACAGUCUGGGAAUGACGGUACCUGAAGAAUAAGCACCGGCUAACUACGUGCCAGCCGCCGCCGUAA
RNAcentral lists this ribosomal RNA (501 nucleotides) under uncultured bacterium. RNAcentral describes it as "partial 16S ribosomal RNA". It matches the Rfam family "Bacterial small subunit ribosomal RNA", at positions 29 to 523 of the family's 1533-position model. The record is from RNAcentral.